RNAcentral lists this unclassified non-coding RNA (348 nucleotides) under soil metagenome. RNAcentral's name for it is "partial contains 5.8S ribosomal RNA, internal transcribed spacer 2, and large subunit ribosomal RNA". The stretch from base 1 to 120 matches the Rfam family "5.8S ribosomal RNA", at positions 35 to 154 of the family's 154-position model. The record is from RNAcentral.
GAUGAAGAACGUAGUGAAAUGCGACAAGUAAUGUGAAUUGCAGAAUUCCGUGAAUCAUCGAAUCUUUGAACGCACAUUGCGCCCGCCAGUAUUCUGGCGGGCAUGCCUGUCUGAGCGUCAUUUCAACCCUCAUGCCCCUAGGGCGUGGUGUUGGGGAUCGGCCAAAGCCCGCGAGGGACGGCCGGCCCCUAAAUCUAGUGGCGGACCCGUCGUGGCCUCCUCUGCGAAGUAGUGAUAUUCCGCAUCGGAGAGCGAUGAGCCCCUGCCGUUAAACCCCCAACUUUCCAAGGUUGACCUCAGAUCAGGUAGGAAUACCCGCUGAACUUAAGCAUAUCAAUAAGCGGAGGA